AUGAUUUGCCUCAGAGCCAUCCCCUCCCCUCGACUCCUCCACCUACCCCUACCCCGCCUCGCCUCCUCCCCGCUCCGCCGCCUCAGGCCCUCCGCCGCAGCCAUGUCCUCCUCCCCCUCCGUCGCCGCGCCCACCGUAGCGGCACCGGUCGAGCACAUCGUGCUCAUCAAGGUCCGCCCGGAGGCCGUGGCCUCGGGGGCCGCCGCGGCGAUGGUCUCCGCGCUGCAGGCGCUCUCCACGCUCGUCCCGGGGGUCUCCUACAUCCACGCGGGCCCCGUGCUCCGCCUCCGCUCCCCGGCCGCCGAGGCGCUGGGCCCCACCCACCUCCUCCACUCCCGCUACGCCACCAAGGCCGACCUCGCCGCCUACGCCCCGCACCCGGCCCACGUGGCCGCCGUGCAGGCGCACGUCGCCCCCAACGCGCUCGACGCCACCGCCGUUGACUGGGUCAACGCCGCGGGCGCCCCGUCCCCCGUCGCCCCCGGCGCCGCCGUGCGCCUCACCCUCGCCAAGGUCAAGGAGGGCGUGGAGGUCGGGCAGCUCGUCGAGAAGGUGGCCGCGGCCACCAAGGACGCCGGCGAGGCCAGCGGCGCCAAGGUCAGCUUCGGGGAGAACUUCUCCCCCGCGCGGGCCAAGGGGUACCAGUUCGGGAUGGUGGCCGUGUUCGGGAGCGUCGAGGAGCUGGACGCCGUGGAGGGCGACGGCAAGGUGGAGGAGGCCAAGGCCGCCCUCAGGCCCAUGCUCGACGAGGUCAUGGUGCUGGACUUCGUCGUCGACGCUCCGGCGGCCGCGAGCCUCUGA
This 801-nucleotide ribosomal RNA is filed under the name Triticum aestivum (bread wheat). Its description in RNAcentral is "partial small subunit ribosomal RNA". Lineage: Eukaryota; Viridiplantae; Streptophyta; Magnoliopsida; Poales; Poaceae. The record is from RNAcentral.